This 164-nucleotide ribosomal RNA is filed under the name Chascolytrum brachychaetum. Its description in RNAcentral is "5.8S ribosomal RNA". It matches the Rfam family "5.8S ribosomal RNA". From Rfam's summary of the family: 5.8S ribosomal RNA (5.8S rRNA) is a component of the large subunit of the eukaryotic ribosome. The record is from RNAcentral. Lineage: Eukaryota; Viridiplantae; Streptophyta; Magnoliopsida; Poales; Poaceae.
CCACACGACUCUCGGCAACGGAUAUCUCGGCUCUCGCAUCGAUGAAGAACGUAGCAAAAUGCGAUACCUGGUGUGAAUUGCAGAAUCCCGCGAACCAUCGAGUUUUUGAACGCAAGUUGCGCCCGAGGCCUUUCGGCCGAGGGCACGCCUGCCUGGGCGUCACG